Molecule: ribosomal RNA, 429 nt
Filed under: Bacteroidota bacterium
Lineage: Bacteria; Pseudomonadati; Bacteroidota
Description: Bacteroidetes bacterium partial 16S ribosomal RNA
Rfam family: Bacterial small subunit ribosomal RNA
Source: RNAcentral
UAGGGAAUCUUCCGCAAUGGGCGAAAGCUUGACGGAGCAACGCCGCGUGAGUGAUGAAGGUCUUCGGAUCGUAAAACUCUGUUAUUAGGGAAGAACAAAUGUGUAAGUAACUAUGCACGUCUUGACGGUACCUAAUCAGAAAGCCACGGCUAACUACGUGCCAGCAGCCGCGGUAAUACGUAGGUGGCAAGCGUUAUCCGGAAUUAUUGGGCGUAAAGCGCGCGUAGGCGGUUUUUUAAGUCUGAUGUGAAAGCCCACGGCUCAACCGUGGAGGGUCAUUGGAAACUGGAAAACUUGAGUGCAGAAGAGGAAAGUGGAAUUCCAUGUGUAGUGGUGAAAUGCGCAGAGAUAUGGAGGAACACCAGUGGCGAAGGCGACUUUCUGGUCUGUAACUGACGCUGAUGUGCGAAAGCGUGGGGAUCAAACAGG